Molecule: long non-coding RNA, 109 nt
Organism: Thalassophryne amazonica
Lineage: Eukaryota; Metazoa; Chordata; Actinopteri; Batrachoidiformes; Batrachoididae
Exons: 3
Source: RefSeq, a predicted model, not a curated record
CCCACCAAACUGUAUAUCAGGGCUAUUCAACUAUAUUUUUCCGGGGGCCAAAUUUGUCAGAAUACUAUGAUCUGUGGGCCGGACAUUCUUGUGACCUGUACUAUUACUC